GAUGAACGCUAGCGGCAGGCUUAACACAUGCAAGUCGAGGGGCAGCAUACCCAGCAAUGGGUGAUGGCGACCGGCGGAAGGGUGCGUAACGCGUGAGCAACAUGCCCAUAUCAGUGGGAUAAUCCAGGGAAACUUGGUCUAAUACCACAUAGUAUCUUUUAGAGACAUCUUUAGAAGAUUAAAGAUUUAUCGGAUAUGGAUUGGCUCGCGUGACAUUAGCUGGAUGGUAGGGUAACGGCCUACCAUGGCAAUGAUGUCUAGGGGUUCUGAGAGGAAGGUCCCCCACACUGGAACUGAGACACGGUCCAGACUCCUACGGGAGGCAGCAGUGAGGAAUAUUGGACAAUGGAUGGAAAUCUGAUCCAGCCAUGCCGCGUGCAGGAAGAAGGUCCUAUGGAUUGUAAACUGCUUUUGUACGGGAGCAAUAAGGGCUAUGCGUAGUUCGAUGAGAGUACCGUACGAAUAAGGAUCGGCUAA
This 477-nucleotide ribosomal RNA is filed under the name uncultured bacterium. Its description in RNAcentral is "bacterial SSU rRNA". It matches the Rfam family "Bacterial small subunit ribosomal RNA", at positions 28 to 500 of the family's 1533-position model. The record is from RNAcentral.